This 524-nucleotide long non-coding RNA is filed under the name Equus caballus (horse). Its description in RNAcentral is "lncRNA (ENSECAG00000044552.1)". Lineage: Eukaryota; Metazoa; Chordata; Mammalia; Perissodactyla; Equidae. The record is from RNAcentral.
CACUUGCUGACCUGGCUUCUAGACUGCUCAUCAGAUCCUCUGCUUGCUAUUUCUUCCCCCAUGUGCAGGACAGAUGCAGAAGAUUCAGGGAAGGAUACAAAGAUCUUCUAGAUAUAAAGAGCCUGCUAGAGUGACUUUAAAGAGCUGCUGGAGGAAGUUACCACCGCUGGGCUGCAAAUCCACUCACUAACAGCCACCUGGACUACAGUUGAGUUAGGAAUUUGGGAAGGAUUUGGCUUGUUUGUUCACAUCUGAUCAACAUGGGGCGAGAUGGAGCAGCUUAGGCUGCAGGAUGCCCUCCACGGUGUCUGCUUCACUCGUGUGUCUGGAGACGUGAUGUCCUCUCUCAUGGCAGCCCUCCUUCAGGGUCUCUUCAUGUGCUUGGCUUUCUCAAAGCAUGCGUCCCUGGGGCUGAGCAAAAGUCAACACUACAAUGUCUCUCAAAGACCGGGCAAGUGAUUCAUUGAACCCAUAAACGUACUUUCUAUGUGCCACGUGUGAAACUGUGAACGAGAAGGAUCAAC